GACGAACGCUGGCGGCGUGCUUGACACAUGCAAGUCGAACGGAAAGGCCCUGCUUUUGUGGGGUGCUCGAGUGGCGAACGGGUGAGUAACACGUGAGUAACCUGCCCUUGACUUUGGGAUAACUUCAGGAAACUGGGGCUAAUACCGGAUAGGAGCUCCUGCUGCAUGGUGGGGGUUGGAAAGUUUCGGCGGUUGGGGAUGGACUCGCGGCCUAUCAGCUUGUUGGUGGGGUAGUGGCUUACCAAGGCUUUGACGGGUAGCCGGCCUGAGAGGGUGACCGGCCACAUUGGGACUGAGAUACGGCCCAGACUCCUACGGGAGGCAGCAGUGGGGAAUAUUGCACAAUGGGCGGAAGCCUGAUGCAGCAACGCCGCGUGCGGGAUGACGGCCUUCGGGUUGUAAACCGCUUUCGCCUGUGACGAAGCGUGAGUGACGGUAAUGGGUAAAGAAGCACCGGCUAACUACGUG
This 468-nucleotide ribosomal RNA is filed under the name uncultured bacterium. RNAcentral describes it as "partial 16S ribosomal RNA". It matches the Rfam family "Bacterial small subunit ribosomal RNA", at positions 28 to 507 of the family's 1533-position model. The record is from RNAcentral.